RNAcentral lists this transfer-messenger RNA (351 nucleotides) under Actinomycetota bacterium. It matches the Rfam family "transfer-messenger RNA". Rfam says of the family: Bacterial tmRNA, also known as 10Sa RNA or SsrA, is named for its dual tRNA and mRNA-like properties. Its role is to liberate the mRNA from a stalled ribosome. Lineage: Bacteria; Bacillati; Actinomycetota. The record is from RNAcentral.
GGGGGCGACUGGUUUCGACACGAUACGUUCGACGGGAGAAGCAGGCCGAGGUCCCCUCGCCUCGUUAAACAGGGGGAACGACGCUUACGCGCCAACAAUAACUACGCUCUCGCUGCUUAAUAUGUAGCGACGUCGCCCGGCGGGAGUCCCCGCCACCGGAUCCGACGUCACAUAGGGGACUACCGGGGCCGUUGACGCAGGUAAUACGGCCAGGGAAUGUGAUCUUGCUGGGCAGAAGGCACGCGAGUCAGCGGGUGUCGCCUUCGCCGAGACAACAACCGUAGACUGAGCCUGGAGAUGCUCCCCGGGGAUGGGUCGUGGACCGGAGUUCGAGUCUCCGCGCCUCCACCA